Molecule: ribosomal RNA, 505 nt
Filed under: uncultured bacterium
Lineage: Bacteria
Description: partial 16S ribosomal RNA
Rfam family: Bacterial small subunit ribosomal RNA
Source: RNAcentral
UGGGGAAUAUUGGACAAUGGGCGCAAGCCUGAUCCAGCCAUGCCGCGUGAGUGAUGAAGGCCCUAGGGUUGUAAAGCUCUUUCGCCAGGGACGAUAAUGACGGUACCUGGAUAAGAAGCCCCGGCUAACUUCGUGCCAGCAGCCGCGGUAAUACGAAGGGGGCUAGCGUUGUUCGGAAUCACUGGGCGUAAAGCGCACGUAGGCGGAUCUUUAAGUCAGGGGUGAGAUCCCGAGGCUCAACCUCGGAACUGCCUUUGAUACUGGAGGUCUCGAGUUCGGGAGAGGUGAGUGGAACUGCGAGUGUAGAGGUGAAAUUCGUAGAUAUUCGCAAGAACACCAGUGGCGAAGGCGGCUCACUGGCCCGAUACUGACGCUGAGGUGCGAAAAGCGUGGGGGAGCAAAACAGGAUUAGAUACCCUGGUAGUCCACGCCGUAAAACGAUGGAUGCUGGCCGUUGGGGAGCUUGCUCUUCAGUGGCGCAGCUAACGCUUUAAGCAUCCCGCCU